Molecule: long non-coding RNA, 727 nt
Organism: Oncorhynchus tshawytscha (Chinook salmon)
Lineage: Eukaryota; Metazoa; Chordata; Actinopteri; Salmoniformes; Salmonidae
Source: Ensembl
GUAAAUUCAGGACACUGAAAUUAGUAUGAUAUCUUACAUUUGGUAUGGUUACAUGAGAUAGAAGGUUACUUAACCCUUUAACCUAACUCCUAACCCUUACCUUAACCCUCAACAUAUCAUAUGAAUUGUAAUUCGUAACAUAUCAUACGAAAUUGAGUGUCUCGAAUUUACAUACAGAAUAAUCAAUCAAUCAAAUUAAUUUAUAAAGCCCUUUUUACAUCAGCCAAUGUCACAAGGUGCUGUACAGAAACCCAGCCUAAAACCUCAAACAGCAAGCAAUGCAGAUGUAGAAGCACAGUUGCUAGGAAAAACUCCCUAGAAAGGCCAAUACUUAGGAAGAAAGCUAGAGAGGAACCAGGCUCUGAGGGGUGACCAGUCCUUUUCUGGCUGUGCCAGGUGGAGAUUAUAACAGAACAUGGUCAAGAUGUUCAAAUGUUCAUAAAUGACCAGCAUGGUCGAAUAAUAAUAAGGCAGAACAGUUGAAACUGGAGCAGCAGCACAGUCAGGUGGAAGUUGAAACUGGAGCAGCAGCAUGGCCAGGUGGACUGGGGACAGCAAGGAGUAAUCAUGUCAGGUAGUCCUGGGGCAUGGUCCUAGGGCUCAGGUCCUCCGAGAGAGAGAAAGAAAGAGAGAAGGAGAGAAUUAGAGAACGCACACUUAGAUUCACACAGGACACCGAAUAGGACAGGAGAAGUACUCCAGAUAUAACAAACUGACCCCAGCCCCC